This 73-nucleotide transfer RNA is filed under the name Ailuropoda melanoleuca (giant panda). It matches the Rfam family "tRNA". Rfam says of the family: Transfer RNA (tRNA) molecules are approximately 80 nucleotides in length. Their secondary structure includes four short double-helical elements and three loops (D, anti-codon, and T loops). The record is from Rfam by way of RNAcentral. Lineage: Eukaryota; Metazoa; Chordata; Mammalia; Carnivora; Ursidae.
ACCUGGCUGGCUCAGUCGGUAGAGCACGCGACUCUUGAUCUCGGGGUUGUGACUUCAAGCUCCACACUGGGUG